UCACGCCUCGCACCUCCCUCUCUCCGUCUCACAAAACCUGACAAUCAUCUCUGGAUGACCAUCGCCGAACGCGUUGCUGGAAAACGACGGAGGCUUGGUGGAGUGGGAGUCGAGGUCGGAGGGCUGAUGGCACGAGCUUCCCUCUGAAGAAGAGGUCGUCGGAGAGAGAGACAGGCGCAAGUCAUGGUUCUAGCCAGACGACCCAGAAGAGAGGCGAAGUCGAACUCCAUGUCGACGCCGUCGCCGUCCUCAUCGCUAGCUCUGCAUUCACUGGCACCUGGCUAAAUGGAGUGCUGGAGCAACAAUCGACACAACCACCAAAAACUGUUAUGGUGAGACAAUGCCGAUGAGCAGAAUUGCAUAUCCAGAUCUCAGCGAUUACGCUCAGAGAACUCCAUUUCACUUCGAAGACCUUCAUCGCAAAGACCGCCACUCGACUGCCACUUUCGCUUUGAAGACCGACUACCGCUUCAAAGACCUCCGUGUUGGCCUCCCCAUUCCUCUCCUCGACGCCUCGGCUGGCCCUUGCCAAGACCCGGACCCGACCCACUUUACACCUUCGUGGCUGGCUACUUGCCCCUGUAGGACCCGUUGCCCAACUGGAGCAACUGCCUUCCAAAGGAGACGAUCCUCCUCAAUGGCUACGACACGAGCAUUGGUUUGUCGUCAUGGGGUUCCUACCGACCCUAACCCUCCGAAGGAAAGAUGAUUUAUGCUAACGUCUAGCCUCCGUUGUCGCAAGCGAGGAGUUCCAGUUGGUCAUUGAUGCUUCUAUGGUGAGAACCGGAAGAAAGGUGACUCUAUCUAAGCCAUCAGUGCAUAUUUGUAUUAAAUGGCGGCUUGUCCACUAGCAGAUCAAUUCCGUUCAAGUGGAUCUACAAAAAGUGGAAGGAGGGUUUGUACGUGACAUCUAUGGGUACAGCUGAUAGUAGAUGGGCAAUAGUUAUGCCUCGCGAUGCAGGAUUCUCUUAUCAGGUGUUCGAACUAGAUUUCCUUUAUCCCAGUGAGGGUAUUCCUCGGUGAUGGGACUCUGGAUAUUGUAUAGAAGCAACAGCUGCAACGUGGGACCAAGCUGCAUUCGUUCACAGUAGAACACGAAGAAAAUUCGCAAAUGAGACUCUUCAAACUUCGGCUUUUCCGUGCACACAUGUGAAGGAAACACGCAGCACCAGCUUCUACUUAAUUGUCAUGAUUGUUUUGGGGCAUAAUAAGGUUAUUUUGAAGGAUUUAGUUAUUGAUAUUUGGACACAGGAAACUUUUGGCAUAUAAAGUUGCCCUUCUAAUAUGCUUUGUUUUUGUUUCAUCUAUUGUGGCAUUGUUUGCAAUUUUGAAUGAGCAGAGAUUAAGCCUACUGUUCUUGAA
Long non-coding RNA from Syzygium oleosum, 1362 nucleotides. RefSeq lists it as uncharacterized. NCBI's taxonomy places the organism in Eukaryota, Viridiplantae, Streptophyta, Magnoliopsida, Myrtales, Myrtaceae. The record is from RefSeq and is a predicted model, not a curated record. The transcript is spliced from 6 exons.